RNAcentral lists this long non-coding RNA (443 nucleotides) under Phasianus colchicus (ring-necked pheasant). RNAcentral describes it as "lncRNA (ENSPCLG00000003337.1)". The record is from RNAcentral. Lineage: Eukaryota; Metazoa; Chordata; Aves; Galliformes; Phasianidae.
UACUGCAGCUACACCACCACCUACGUACUGGGAGCUGCAGUCACCCAGCAGAGACUCCCUAUUUCAGUCCCAUAGUGCCAAGGAAAUGUCUCCAUUGCCCUCAUGGAAAGCUACCAUUUCACUCCUCCUCUCAGAGGAAGUGCACACUGUGGGAUACACCCAUGUGCCAUUUACCUGGACCAAUAGCUGGCUGGCAAAGACUGGAAUUCUGAAUGAUAUUACAACAAAUCUGAAACAGCUGGGAAAAAGGUCUUCAAGAAGAUGUUUACCAGGUGCUUGGUUUUUUUUAACACAUUUGCUACACUUAUCUCAGUAAUAUGUCUAAGAAAGUCAUCAAAGGGCAGAGUCAUCAAUGCUGGAGUCACUGCAUUCAAGGCAACUUUUAUAAAAUUACGUUAAGAGAAUGGAAUAAAUCAACUAGGGAAGCAUUUGUCUUGUGGAGA